RNAcentral lists this ribosomal RNA (492 nucleotides) under uncultured bacterium. RNAcentral's name for it is "partial 16S ribosomal RNA". It matches the Rfam family "Bacterial small subunit ribosomal RNA", at positions 29 to 507 of the family's 1533-position model. The record is from RNAcentral.
AGUGAACGCUGGCGGUAGGCCUAACACAUGCAAGUCGAACGGCAGCACAGUAAGAGCUUGCUCUUACGGGUGGCGAGUGGCGGACGGGUGAGGAAUACAUCGGAAUCUACUUUUUCGUGGGGGAUAACGUAGGGAAACUUACGCUAAUACCGCAUAUGACCUACGGGUGAAAGCAGGGGAUCUUCGGACCUUGCGCGAUUGAAUGAGCCGAUGUCGGAUUAGCUAGUUGGCGGGGUAAAGGCCCACCAAGGCGACGAUCCGUAGCUGGUCUGAGAGGAUGAUCGGCCACACUGGAACUGAGACACGGUCCAGACUCCUACGGGAGGCAGCAGUGGGGAAUAUUAGGCAAUGGGCGCAAGCCUGAUCCAGCCAUACCGCGUGGGUGAAGAAGGCCUUCGGGUUGUAAAGCCCUUUUGUUGGGAAAGAAAAGCAGCAGGUUAAUACCCCGCUGUUCUGACGGUACCCAAAGAAUAAGCACCGGCUAACUUCGUG